GUUAUCAAUUUUAUUUACGCUCUUUGACAAGACAAACAAUUUUAUCAUUGAUUUUAAGGACGCUUAAUCAAAUCAAUGAUUUCGAUUUUGAGACCUCGACGGUGUACAAUUAGCUUAAGUCUAUAAGAAUUUACACACGACGACUCUCAAAAUUACUUCUUGAGAACAAAAAUGAAAUUACGAGUAAACAUGAAACUUUUCUAAUGGUUAAAAACGUAGUUGGUCACUAAACAUCAAAUAAUUUUUGUUGGGUGUGGAAAAUUAGAAAAAAAUAAAUAAAUAAAAUAAAAUGGGAACACACUAGAAAUUAUUCUCCUAAAAAGACAUUCUUUGACUUAUUUUUAGCAUGGGAUAAAAGUGUAAAUUAAACAUAAGAUAAUAUUAAAUUAAAAGUAUGCAGGGAUGGCAGGAAGUUGAGGCUCAGAUCAGAUCUAUUGGAUUGAAGAGGCAAGGAGAAUAUGACCGCGCCAUGGCUGCAUAAUCACCGGUGGCAUAAAAUCAGAUGCCAUCCCGGUUGCCCCGCCAAGAUACGGGUCAGUUAAUCUCAAGGCCCGAUUCAUCAGCUCAGAAGAAUCAAAAUCAUCGUCAUAGCCUCUGCAAAAUCAGAUCGAUACAGUUACGGAACUCUCUCGCUGAUAUAUAGAGAGAUCUCCGCUCUCUCAGUGUGUGUGUAUGUAUGUAGUAUGAAUUAUGGUGGAAUCGAAUCCAAGAACAAAAGGGUAAUUAUAUAUAUUUCCGCUUGCAUCAGAUAACAUUGGCUGUUUCUAAUUUCUCAAGGGCUGUUGAUAUUUACAGGAUGGAAAUCAUCGGUUUCACAGAGAGGGGCAACCACCCUUAAAGAAUUCCCAGUCUCUCUGUAAACCUCAUUCUUCACUCCCAAGCACCUAGCCCUGGAUUCUGGUUUACCUCUUAAUUUAUAGUACAGCGCUGUUCCCAAUUUAUCCCUUCUUUGUGUUCCAUUUUGCAGACCAGGAGAAUACUUGGGUUAGCGGGGAAAAGGAUAUAGUGGUGAUUUCGCAUGUACCACAACUUUUGUUAGCACUAGACACACUUCUCCACUUCACGGCAAAAGAUGUGAAGUUGAAUUAUUUGACUAAGGCUCCUGUUUGACAAUGAUAAGCAAA
Molecule: long non-coding RNA, 1124 nt
Filed under: Olea europaea (common olive)
Lineage: Eukaryota; Viridiplantae; Streptophyta; Magnoliopsida; Lamiales; Oleaceae
Description: long non-coding RNA (OEUR_LNC004297)
Source: RNAcentral